GGGCGGGGCGUGGGGGGGGCUUGCAAUGGCUCCAACCGGAAGGGCGGUGCUCGAGCUGUGGUGCGUGCCGCUAAGUUGUGCGUUCCAGGGUGCACUCGCCGGCGAGGCUGCACGGCGCCGGUUUCAUUGCUAAAAUCCGACGGACUUGUUGCAGAACUCGUUUUUUUUGUCGGGAAAGGGCUUCCCCGUGUAACUUUACAGCAGUUAUCGUAGAUAAGACUUGCAAAUUACAGAUGUGGACGGUGAGGGAACGGGAAUUUCACUGAAAGCGCCUGAGAACCAGUAAGAGACCUGCAACAGCUUUGUGCUCCACUGGCGAAUGCUUCCUCCCCUAAUACACAUUAUGUGUGCUUGGAGACACAAGGAGUAAGAUACAGCCCCUCAAGGGACUCGUCAUAGGGAGAGGACACAGCUUUGGGAAUAAAGGGGCCACAAAGGAGGAGAGAGGAGUUUGCUGAAACUUCCCAAGCUCCCAUUCCAGCAGUUCCUGAAGGGCUGGACAAUGGAGGAGGCUUGAAACAGUAGCUGGCAAGUGGUAGAAGAGAUGGAGCAGAGAAGCAAGAAGAAGCAGACUCCUCACUCCUUCACCAGGGUGGAUUUGCUGGUUUGAAGCAGACCUGAGUUGGGAGAGGAGAGAGGCGAGAAGUUUUAAUUGGAUGAAAUAUUUCUUUAGACUGGUCUAUACUUUUUUCUUUAUAUCUAAAAUUCACUGGAAGAGCUAUGAAAUCUGUCCAAGAUUUCGUUCAGUUCAGGAAAAACCAAAACCAAAACCAUAACCAGUGAGUUUAUAAAGGAAGUUUAUGGUGGAUUUUUUAAAAUUAUUUUGAUAACUGACAUUGGGGUAUUCUCCAUCUUAUGAGUCUGAAAAUAUUUCUUCGCAGCCAGGUAAUACACAUGUGACUCAGAUGCCACCAAAGAAGUAUGUGUCCAAGACCUCAAGUUGAAAGCUGUGGACUGCGGAGGGACUCUCUGGUGAAGUUGUUGCAAGCAUGAUUAAUUCAUUGGGGCAGCAAUGGCAGCCAAGCCAGUGGUGGUAUCCUGUGUCCAGGAGUGGUAUUGGUGAUUCAGUUUGCAGCCUCUGAGGUACAAGGAUAAGGAAAAUGGUGACCAGAUCAGUUUUGCUGCCUCAGAUUAGACAUAAUUUCAAGCUGUAUAUCUCUAAUCCUCCUAAUAAUUCUAUGACCUACAUGAUAUCCUUUAAAUAAAUGACUUAUCAUUUAAAAUAAUUCCGAAUUGAUUUCUGUGACUUGCAAUGAAAUCAAUAAAAAAAAAAAAAUACCUGGACUAUUACUAGAAAACAGACCACCAGGGAAAUGGGUCAAUCUGGGAUUAAUUUUCUGACCUGGUUUAGGCUGAAGGCAGUGAUAAUUCAGAUGACUCUAAGGGUGGAGCAGCUCUAGACAUGCAGGAGUGGAACAGUUAAUAAUAAAAAAAAAACCUCUGACUUCCUGAAAGGAAAUAAGAAUUAAAGGCAAGGCCUUAGAGACAAUAGGGUUAUUGCCAUGGAAGAAUAUUAAAGUGCAUGAGCUAUUUAAAGUCUGUA
This 1543-nucleotide long non-coding RNA is filed under the name Homo sapiens (human). Its description in RNAcentral is "HSALNT0321079". Lineage: Eukaryota; Metazoa; Chordata; Mammalia; Primates; Hominidae. The record is from RNAcentral.